UGCGUAGGCGGUCGGGUAAGUCUGACGUGAAAUCUUCAAGCUCAACUUGGAAACUGCGUCGGAUACUAUUCGGCUAGAGGAAUGGAGGGGAGACUGGAAUACUUGGUGUAGCAGUGAAAUGCGUAGAUAUCAAGUGGAACACCAGUGGCGAAGGCGAGUCUCUGGACAUUUCCUGACGCUGAGGCAAGACCAGGGGAGCGAAACG
Molecule: ribosomal RNA, 205 nt
Filed under: uncultured bacterium
Lineage: Bacteria
Description: partial 16S ribosomal RNA
Rfam family: Bacterial small subunit ribosomal RNA
Source: RNAcentral